UACGAAGGGGGCUAGCGUUGCUCGGAAUUACUGGGCGUAAAGGGCGCGUAGGCGGAUAUUUAAGUCGGGGGUGAAAGCCCGGGGCUCAACCUCGGAAUUGCCUUCGAUACUGGAUAUCUUGAGUUCGGGAGAGGUGAGCGGAAUGCCGAGUGUAGAGGUGAAAUUCGUAGAUAUUCGGCGGAACACCAGUGGCGAAGGCGACUCACUGGCCCGAUACUGACGCUGAGGCGCGAAAGCGUGGGGAGCAAACAGG
This 253-nucleotide ribosomal RNA is filed under the name uncultured bacterium. RNAcentral describes it as "partial 16S ribosomal RNA". It matches the Rfam family "Bacterial small subunit ribosomal RNA", at positions 524 to 776 of the family's 1533-position model. The record is from RNAcentral.